GAGUUUGAUCCUGGCUCAGGAUGAACGCUAGCGGCAGGCCUAAUACAUGCAAGUCGAACGGUAGACUUUUCUUCGGAGAAGUUGAGAGUGGCGCACGGGUGCGUAACGCGUAUGCAACCUACCCUUAACAGGGGGAUAGCCCAGAGAAAUUUGGAUUAAUACCCCAUAGUACUACAAGAUGGCAUCUGAAAGUAGUUAAAGAUUUAUCGGUUAAGGAUGGGCAUGCGUGACAUUAGCUAGUUGGUGAGGUAACGGCUCACCAAGGCAACGAUGUCUAGGGGUUCUGAGAGGAUGAUCCCCCACACUGGUACUGAGAUACGGACCAGACUCCUACGGGAGGCAGCAGUAGGGAAUAUUGGUCAAUGGGCGAGAGCCUGAACCAGCCAUGCCGCGUGCAGGAAGACAGCUUUCUGAGUUGUAAACUGCUUUUAUAUGGGAAGAAAAAAGGCCUUGCGAGGCAAAUUGCCGGUACCAUAUGAAUAAGCACCGGGCUAACUCCGUGCCAGCAGCCGCGGUAAUACGGGAGGGUGCAAGCGUUGUCCGGGAUUUAUUGGGUUUAAAGGGGUGCGUAGGCGGAUUCUUUAAGUCAGUGGUGAAAUCCUGCAGCUUAACUGUAGAACCUGCCAUUGAUACUGG
This 636-nucleotide ribosomal RNA is filed under the name uncultured bacterium. RNAcentral describes it as "bacterial SSU rRNA". It matches the Rfam family "Bacterial small subunit ribosomal RNA", at positions 9 to 636 of the family's 1533-position model. The record is from RNAcentral.